ACCCUAAAGAUAGGGCGUUUUCUUCGGGAACGCAUGACAGGUGGUGCAUGGUCGUCGUCAGCUCGUGUCGUGAGAUGUUGGGUUAAGUCCCGCAACGAGCGCAACCCUUGUUACUAGUUGCCAGCAUUAAGUUGGGCACUCUAGUGAGACUGCCGGUGACAAACCGGAGGAAGGUGGGGACGACGUCAGAUCAUCAUGCCCCUUAUGACCUGGGCUACACACGUGCUACAAUGGACGGUACAACGAGUCGCGAACUCGCGAGGGCAAGCAAAUCUCUUAAAACCGUUCUCAGUUCGGACUGCAGGCUGCAACUCGCCUGCACGAAGUCGGAAUCGCUAGUAAUCGCGGAUCAGCAUGCCGCGGUGAAUACGUUCCCGGGUCUUGUACACAC
RNAcentral lists this ribosomal RNA (391 nucleotides) under Limosilactobacillus fermentum. RNAcentral's name for it is "bacterial SSU rRNA". It matches the Rfam family "Bacterial small subunit ribosomal RNA", at positions 997 to 1390 of the family's 1533-position model. The record is from RNAcentral. Lineage: Bacteria; Bacillati; Bacillota; Bacilli; Lactobacillales; Lactobacillaceae.